RNAcentral lists this ribosomal RNA (492 nucleotides) under uncultured bacterium. RNAcentral's name for it is "partial 16S ribosomal RNA". It matches the Rfam family "Bacterial small subunit ribosomal RNA", at positions 29 to 507 of the family's 1533-position model. The record is from RNAcentral.
AGUGAACGCUGGCGGUAUGCCUAACACAUGCAAGUCGAACGGCAGCACAGUAAGAUCUUGCUCUUACGGGUGGCGAGUGGCGGACGGGUGAGGAAUACAUCGGAUUCUACUUUUUCGUGGGUGAUAACGUAGGGACACUUACGCUAAUACCGCAUACGACCUACGGCUUAAAUCAGUGGAUCUUCGCACCUUUCGCGAUUCAAUUAGCCGAUUUCGGAUUAGCUAGUUGGCUGGGUAAAGGCCCACCAAGGCGACGAUGCGUAGCUGGUCUGAGAGGAUGAUCAGCCACACUGGAACUGAGACACGGUCCAGACUCCUACGGGAGGCAGCAGUAGGGAAUAUUGGACAAUGGGCGAAAGCCUGACGCAGCAAUACCGCGUGAGUGAAGAAGGCCUUCGGGUUGUAAAGCCCUGUUGUUGGGAAAGAAAAGAAGCAGGUGUAAACACGGAUGUUCUGACGGUACCCAAAGAAUAAGCAACGGCUAACUUCGUG